RNAcentral lists this ribosomal RNA (1357 nucleotides) under uncultured organism. RNAcentral's name for it is "16S ribosomal RNA". It matches the Rfam family "Bacterial small subunit ribosomal RNA", at positions 32 to 1384 of the family's 1533-position model. The record is from RNAcentral.
AACGCUAGCUACAGGCUUAACACAUGCAAGUCGAGGGGCAGCAUGGUCUUAGCUUGCUAAGGCCGAUGGCGACCGGCGCACGGGUGAGUAACACGUAUCCAACCUGCCGUCUACUCUUGGACAGCCUUCUGAAAGGAAGAUUAAUACAAGAUGGCAUCAUGAGUCCGCAUGUUCACAUGAUUAAAGGUAUUCCGGUAGACGAUGGGGAUGCGUUCCAUUAGAUAGUAGGCGGGGUAACGGCCCACCUAGUCUUCGAUGGAUAGGGGUUCUGAGAGGAAGGUCCCCCACAUUGGAACUGAGACACGGUCCAAACUCCUACGGGAGGCAGCAGUGAGGAAUAUUGGUCAAUGGGCGAGAGCCUGAACCAGCCAAGUAGCGUGAAGGAUGACUGCCCUAUGGGUUGUAAACUUCUUUUAUAAAGGAAUAAAGUCGGGUAUGCAUACCCGUUUGCAUGUACUUUAUGAAUAAGGAUCGGCUAACUCCGUGCCAGCAGCCGCGGUAAUACGGAGGAUCCGAGCGUUAUCCGGAUUUAUUGGGUUUAAAGGGAGCGUAGAUGGAUGUUUAAGUCAGUUGUGAAAGUUUGCGGCUCAACCGUAAAAUUGCAGUUGAUACUGGAUAUCUUGAGUGCAGUUGAGGCAGGCGGAAUUCGUGGUGUAGCGGUGAAAUGCUUAGAUAUCACGAAGAACUCCGAUUGCGAAGGCAGCCUGCUAAGCUGCAACUGACAUUGAGGCUCGAAAGUGUGGGUAUCAAACAGAAUUAGAUACCCUGGUAGUCCACACGGUAAACGAUGAAUACUCGCUGUUUGCGAUAUACAGCAAGCGGCCAAGCGAAAGCGUUAAGUAUUCCACCUGGGGAGUACGCCGGCAACGGUGAAACUCAAAGGAAUUGACGGGGGCCCGCACAAGCGGAGGAACAUGUGGUUUAAUUCGAUGAUACGCGAGGAACCUUACCCGGGCUUAAAUUGCAGAUGAAUUACGGUGAAAGCCGUAAGCCGCAAGGCAUCUGUGAAGGUGCUGCAUGGUUGUCGUCAGCUCGUGCCGUGAGGUGUCGGCUUAAGUGCCAUAACGAGCGCAACCCUUGUUGUCAGUUACUAACAGGUUCCGCUGAGGACUCUGACAAGACUGCCAUCGUAAGAUGUGAGGAAGGUGGGGAUGACGUCAAAUCAGCACGGCCCUUACGUCCGGGGCUACACACGUGUUACAAUGGGGGGUACAGAGGGCCGCUACCACGCGAGUGGAUGCCAAUCCCCAAAACCUCUCUCAGUUCGGACUGGAGUCUGCAACCCGACUCCACGAAGCUGGAUUCGCUAGUAAUCGCGCAUCAGCCCCGGCGCGGUGAAUACGUUCCCGGGCCUUGU